UUACAAUCCUGCAUUCAGGGUGCAUUCACCGUGCCACGGCAUGGGGUGAAUGGUAAACGGGAAACAGAACGCGCACGCUGGCGCGCCAACCUGUGCUGCCCCCGCAACGGUAAUCAGGCAUUCGGCCUGCAGCCCGACAUCGGCCCUGAAACUGCCACUGCG
RNAcentral lists this non-coding RNA (162 nucleotides) under Advenella mimigardefordensis. RNAcentral also lists the same sequence under 1 other name. The record is from RNAcentral. Lineage: Bacteria; Pseudomonadati; Pseudomonadota; Betaproteobacteria; Burkholderiales; Alcaligenaceae.